RNAcentral lists this ribosomal RNA (107 nucleotides) under Bacillota bacterium. The record is from RNAcentral. Lineage: Bacteria; Bacillati; Bacillota.
AUUGGUGACGAUAGCUGAGUGGGCACACCUCUUCCCAUCCCGAACAGAGAAGUUAAGCACUCAUACGCCGACGAUAGUCUCAAAGCGAAAAUAGGUAGUUGCCAAUU